RNAcentral lists this ribosomal RNA (305 nucleotides) under uncultured bacterium. Its description in RNAcentral is "bacterial SSU rRNA". It matches the Rfam family "Bacterial small subunit ribosomal RNA", at positions 334 to 654 of the family's 1533-position model. The record is from RNAcentral.
GAUUCCUACGGGGGGCAGCAGUAGGGAAUCUUCCACGAUGGACGCAAGUCUGACCCAGCAACGCCGCGUGAAGGAAGAAGGCUUUCGGGUUGUAAAAUUCUUUUAAGGGGGAAGAGCAGAAGACGGUACCCCUUGAAUAAGCCACGGCUAACUACGUGCCAGCAGCCGCGGUAAUACGUAGGUGGCACGCGUUGUCCGGAUUUACUGGGUGUAAAGGGAGCGUAGACGGUGUGGCAAGUCUGAAGUGAAAGCCCGGGGCUCAACCCCGGGACUGCGUUGGAAACUGUCCUGCUGGAGUGCUGGAG